AGAGUUUGAUCCUGGCUCAGAUUGAACGCUGGCGGCAGGCUUAACACAUGCAAGUCGAGCGGAGAUGAGGUGCUUGCACCUUAUCUUAGCGGCGGACGGGUGAGUAAUGCUUAGGAAUCUACCUAUUAGUGGGGGACAACGUUUCGAAAGGAACGCUAAUACCGCAUACGUCCUACGGGAGAAAGCAGGGGACCUUCGGGCCUUGCGCUAAUAGAUGAGCCUAAGUCGGAUUAGCUAGUUGGUGGGGUAAAGGCCUACCAAGGCGACGAUCUGUAGCGGGUCUGAGAGGAUGAUCCGCCACACUGGGACUGAGACACGGCCCAGACUCCUACGGGAGGCAGCAGUGGGGAAUAUUGGACAAUGGGGGGAACCCUGAUCCAGCCAUGCCGCGUGUGUGAAGAAGGCCUUUUGGUUGUAAAGCACUUUAAGCGGGGAGGAGGCUACUUAGAUUAAUACUCUAGGAUAGUGGACGUUACUCGCAGAAUAAGCACCGGCUAACUCUGUGCCAGCAGCCGCGGUAAUA
RNAcentral lists this ribosomal RNA (523 nucleotides) under uncultured bacterium. RNAcentral describes it as "bacterial SSU rRNA". It matches the Rfam family "Bacterial small subunit ribosomal RNA", at positions 8 to 525 of the family's 1533-position model. The record is from RNAcentral.